GCCACGGUGGUCUAGUGGUCAGAACGCUGGCCUUGUAAUCCUGGGGUCUCGGGUUCGAUUCCCGGCGGUGCCC
Molecule: non-coding RNA, 73 nt
Organism: Zootermopsis nevadensis
Lineage: Eukaryota; Metazoa; Arthropoda; Insecta; Blattodea; Termopsidae
Source: Rfam